This 253-nucleotide ribosomal RNA is filed under the name uncultured bacterium. Its description in RNAcentral is "partial 16S ribosomal RNA". It matches the Rfam family "Bacterial small subunit ribosomal RNA", at positions 524 to 776 of the family's 1533-position model. The record is from RNAcentral.
UACAGAGGGUGCAAGCGUUAAUCGGAAGUACUGGGCGUAAAGCGCGCGUAGGUGGUUUGUUAAGUUGGAUGUGAAAGCCCCGGGCUCAACCUGGGAACUGCAUCCAAAACUGGCAAGCUAGAGUACGGUAGAGGGUGGUGGAAUUUCCUGUGUAGCGGUGAAAUGCGUAGAUAUAGGAAGGAACACCAGUGGCGAAGGCGACUACCUGGACUGAUACUGACACUGAGGUGCGAAAGCGUGGGGAGCAAACAGG